CGCCACCCUCCUCUCGCGCUCGAGGGCACUUUCUGCCGCCCACAAUCAUGGGCACGCUGGAGCUCCAACCACCACCCACCACCAGACCAUCCGAGCUCGACGAUGCCGUCAAUGAGGACGACCUCUCACCCAUCGAGGAGGUCCGCCUCACCGUGACCAACACCGACGACCCCACCUUGCCUGUCUGGACCUUCCGCAUGUGGUUCUUGGGCCUCCUCUCGUGUGCCCUCCUCUCUUUCAUCAACCAGUUCAUGGCCUUCCGAACUGAGCCCCUCAUCGUCACCCAGAUCACUGUCCUGGUCGCCACGCUCCCCAUUGGCCGCUUCAUGGCCGCGGCACUGCCCAAGGCCAAGUUCCGGAUCCCCGGGUUCGGGUCCCAGCUCUUCUCGCUCAACCCUGGCCCGUUCAACUUGAAGGAACACGUGCUCAUCUCCAUAUUCGCCAAUGCUGGAUCCGGGACGGCUUAUGGCAUCGGGAUUGUGACCAUCAUCAAGGCGUUUUAUCACCGAAGCAUUUCGUUCUUUGCCGGAUGGCUUCUCAUCAUCACGACGCAGGUCAGUUUAUUCAUUUUUCUUUUAUUCUCUUUCGAAAUUCAAUAGAUAAAACCUAUCAUCAGCUGCUUGACUCGUAAAUGUUCAAUCCUCGGGUUUCUCCUUCUCGCCUUUUGCAAGGGAGUAGCUGAGAAAAGAGAGACGUAUGACGAGUUAGCUUAUGAACAUCAUAAAUUUUGCCACUUGAUGCGUACUUUCAUAGGCAGUAUUAAUUUCUUGCGGUUCAAUGAAUGCCGCCCGCAAUUAUAAAUUACAUAGAUCGGUCGAAUUAUCUUUUCCGUCCAUGAGCAAGGUUGUUCUAUCGACUACUUCCUCAACAACAAUAAAUGCACCUGUAAGACUAAGAAAAAAGAAGAAAAAACAAAAGAUAGCUAGACAAGAUCACUCCUACAGAACCAUCGGAGUCAACACAAGUUUCCAUUUCGUGCAGGGAAUCGAACAAGUCAAAUAUAAAUUGCAUCAUGAAAAUAAAGAUUGAUUUGUUUACUGUACUUCGUAGGUGUAAUUACGGUGCUUCACUCGUUCUAAUUUUCGUUUAGAUAUUACUUUUUUCAUGAUGCUCCGAAUCGUCCUUGCCCAUUUUGAAGUGAAGAUUGAUAAUAUCUGAACAUAUCAUGAGAAAUGCACAGUAUCUAUUGGAAACUGUCGUGAUCCUUGUGCUGGAAUCGUUAAACGGCACGGCAAUCUCGAACACUAGGGUAAAUUGUGAAACUUAGAUGUAGAGAAACAAGACGGUAACUCGUGAAGUGGAGCUGGAGAUGGGUGGUGAACCCUGUUAAUGGUGGAAUUGGAUAUAUGCAGGUGUUGGGAUACGGAUGGGCAGGGCUAUUGAGGAAAUACGUGGUGGAACCAGCUCACAUGUGGUGGCCUUCUGCCCUCGUCCAAGUCUCCUUUUUCCGGUGAAUUACCACUCUUUUGCCUCCCCUUCCUUGCUUUCUUAUCAGAAUUCGCGUGAAAACAGAAGGAGAUAUAACUGGUGGGAGUUAAGUGUUCCGUGGAGAUGAUGCUAAUGGCAAGAUAGCAUAGACAGAGAAAGACCCAACAUGAGUAGAACUAGUUACUACCUAUGUAGUAUAGACACUCUUCGGAAGUCUUCGUGUCGUGUCCGACACUCCGACACGUAUUUAACACGCUCUAACACGCGGUCAACAAGUGUCAAAAUAUCCAACACGUGGUCAACUCUCUCCGACAUGCUCUGACACGUGAGUCUAGAAUUCCGACACGCGAUUCCGACACGUACAGGGUCAAUUUUAAAAAUUUCUAAUACUUGAGGGGUCAAAAUAUAAAUAUACACAAAAGAAGUAAUAAAAGAAGUAAUAAAAUUGUUAUAAAUAUACACGCAAGGGUCAAUUUUUUUUUUCAGUUUUGUUUUUUUAUAAUUGUUUUAGUUUUUUUUAAAAAAGUCUUUUACUAUGAAAGAAGUAAUAAAAAAUGCUAUAUAUGAUAAAUAAAUAAAUUUAAAAAUAUCAUUUCAUCAUUUUUCUUUAAACAAUAUUUUUUUCUCUAAGUUUUAUGUAUUACUGUAACAAAUUAAAAUAAUGAAUGAUAUUAUUUAAUAUUAUUUGUGUAAAUUAAUUCUAUGCUAUUAUUAUUAUUAUUAUUAUUAUUAUUAUUAUUAUUAUUAUUUAUGUAUUUAUAUAUUAUUAUUAUUUAUGUAUUUAUAUAUAAAAAUAUAUUUAAUGUAUAACGUAUUGGAACGUGUCGAAAUUCUCUAUUUUUAAAAAAUGAUGUGUCGGUAUAUCUUGUCGUGUCGUGUCGUGUCGUGUCGUGUAUCGUGUAUUCAUGUCGGUGCUACGUAGGUUACUACACUGACGUUGCGUUGAUUCGACUGGAGCUCAGACUCUUCCUUUUUUCUAACUCCCACUACAAGGUCACUUGAAUACGAAAACCAUACCAUGAAAACCCACGUCUUGUCACUGUCAGAAGAAGCCCACGAUCCGUGAAUGUGGAUUAGGAUUUCUCGGAUUGUCUACUUUGCUUUGGACGCCUUAGGAUCACUGCUUUUUCUUCUACUCGAUUCCUUUGUCUUGUCACGGCAACUUGAAUAUGUGGGUCACAUGCAGUACAACCAGCUCCUCUCUCUCUCGCUCUCUCGGGUCGUGACCAAAAUAGAGGGAUGUGCCAUGCCAUCAACAUGGACCGUAAGCUUACGGUGGUCAUAAGAAAUCCGUAACCCCAUCUCUCUCUAGUCAUAGUUAUAGAUAAGAGGCACCAGGGACCCUCUAAACCAUGUCACUUAGUGUGGAAAUUGAGGCUAUACCAGUUCACCACUCAAAAAUAUCUCACAACGUAUUCACACCCCCCACAAAAAGAUUCAGGAAAAUCUACUUUGUACAGGACGAUAAAGCCAAGAGCUUCUCAAUCAAACUACAGACACCAUCAAGCCCACUUCAGCCUCAGUCUCACAAGAUCCCAUUCGCUAUUUCUACUUCUUGCUGCUUCUGGUACCUUGAAAUUGGGAGGAACUACAUGCACCAAUUGGCCCCCACCAUUUAAACUCCAAUGAUGCUCGCAAGUACCCCAUGUUCUGAGGACAAACCUGAACUGUGUCGGCCACGAAACUAAUGGAAAUACAGAUUCUAACAUCCGCUUUCUUUCAUACCCUGCUUUAGGAUCAGAUAAAAGUGUAAAUCCUUUCUAACAAGGAACUGAGUUGUGUAUUGCAGCACGCAAGUGGUUGCAACUCGCUGCAGAGACAUCCAAAGCCUUCGCUCUUGCAUUUGAUUAUCUUUAUAAACAAGAAAUUGUCAUUUAUCUGCAUGAUCUAAAUAGUUUCAGAAGAUACACUGUACAUAUAUGGAAAGUCGAUCACCUUGUCCUUCGUUAUUGUCAAUCGAUGGAUGCAUUCACAAAAUAAUAUGAGCUUUCACAACUGUUAUAAAAUAUCCAGAAUGUGCAUUUCAUGUAGAUAAUAAGUGCUUGACCUUAAGUAGAUCAUUUUAUACAAAUUGAUGCAGGGCUUUACAUGAGAGGGACGAACAGCGCAUGUCACGGGCAAAAUUCUUUGUCAUUGCACUGAUCUGCAGCUUCUCAUGGUACGUUGUCCCCGGAUACCUCUUUUCCACGCUCACCAAUGUAUCAUGGGUCUGCUGGGUAUUCUCCAAUUCAGUCACCGCCCAGCAGAUUGGCUCGGGUAUGCGAGGCCUUGGACUUGGAGCCUUGACGCUCGACUGGACAACGGUGGCAUCCUUCCUGUCCAGCCCUCUAGUCUGCCCCUUCUUUGCCAUAGUCAACAUUUUUGUGGGAUACGCAUUAAUAAUCUAUGUCGUAAUGCCCAUAGCCUAUUGGGGGUUUAACCUGUAUGGUGCAAAUAGAUUCCCCAUUUUUUCCUCGCACUUGUUCACGGCGCAAGGUGAAAGGUACGAUAUAACAGCAAUUGUAAACGACAAGUUUGAGUUGGACAUUCCAAAGUACGAGGAGCAAGGCCGAAUUCAUUUAAGCAUGUUCUUUGCUCUCUUUUAUGGCUUUGGUUUUGCGACCAUUGCAUCAACAAUAACUCAUGUGACCUUCUUCUAUGGCAGGUACAUCUUUUCACCCUGAUAAGUUCAUUUAGACUUUGUCUCGAGUACUUGAUUAGGACAUCAAGCAGCAUGUGCAAAGAAAAUACCAGGGCAAGAUUGUAAAGAUCUGAAAAUGAAACCUUGAAAGAAACUGAAUUUACAGUUUCAAAUAACUUUUCUGCAAACUAAGGUGAUCCUUAUAGUUAUGACAUAGAGAUGUAAUGACUAAGAUAAUGAAAAAACUCUCAAGAAUCAGAACGGUGUUUUUUUUUUCCUUGUAAAGUAUUUGAUUUUCUUGAAUUCAUCAGACAUAUAGACAGUGAUGUACAAUUACAUUCAACAGAGAGAUCUAUGAGCGCUAUCGUGAUUCUCACAAAGGGAAGGCAGAUGUCCAUUCAAAAUUGAUGAGGCGAUACAAAGACAUACCCUCAUGGUGGUUUCACUUGUUGCUCAUUGUAAGUCUGGUGGGGUCUCUUGCUCUAUGCAUCUUCCUGAAUGAUCAGGUCCAAAUGCCAUGGUGGGGGCUUCUCUUUGGUAGCACCCUUGCAUUUGUAUUCACCCUUCCCAUUAGUAUCAUCACCGCCACAACAAAUCAGGUAUGAAUCAAGAGUUAUGGCACAUUUGUUCUUGACUUUUUUUUUACGGUCGACUAUUUAUUCUUGACAUAAUUUCUAUGUAAAAAGACAUCAUACUCAACAACGAUCUUUCUCUAUCUACAGACACCGGGACUAAAUAUAAUCACAGAAUACAUAAUGGGCAUCAUAUUGCCAGGAAGACCUAUAGCAAAUGUUUGCUUUAAAACAUAUGGAUACAUCAGCAUGGCUCAGGCUGUUUUCUUUCUCAAUGAUUUUAAGCUGGGACACUACAUGAAGAUACCUCCAAGAUCGAUGUUCUUAGUUCAGGUACUUUUUACUGCUCCUAACCAUUUGAUACCAUUUAUCAACUAUGCCAAAAGUAAGCCAACCAAACUUAAUAUAGAUCCACUGACUUAUCUAGUGCUACUGAUGCGGACAACCUACAAACAAUUACUGAUUUCCAGUAACAAAUUUUUUACCAUGAAUUUCUGGUAUCAUAUCCAUAGUAAGUAAAUUGGAUGAAAAUAGCCCAAGAAGCAAAUCAAUCAAAUUUCUUGUUUCUUUAAAACAUAUUUUUUCAUCAAACCUGAUAAAAAGGUGAGAUUGAACCGUGAUAGGAGAGUAUAAACUUGAGAACAUUUACAAAUUUACACUACUAUAGUUAAAGAGUUAAAGCUCCCCCACCUUCGGGAUAACUCUUUUUACUGUUCCAGGAAGACAAUCUUGAGUGAAGAUCUGCAUAUAAAAAACACAACUUUCUAUGUUCAAGGAUUUAAGCUAGACUUUCCCUUUUCAACAGAAUUAAGAUGAAGCAGUUGGCAUUUUAGAAGAAGCACGUUGCUUGUGGCAGCAUUAUAUAUCAUCCAAAUCAAGAUUGACAUCAUGUGCACUUGCAAAAAGGAAAUACUCACAAAGCUCAUAGACGUAAAUAACACUCAGGGUAUAGUUUGGAUCUCUUGAAAUGACAUUUACAAAAGCUAGCAAUCAAAUCUUACUAGACUUUCAAGGGUAUGACAAGAUUCUUAAGUAUCAUCCCUCUUGUUGCUAUUUAUCAAAUAAGUAUGUGUGGCAUCUAAUUAUUCCGAAACUACCUUAGUAUUCUAUUCUUGUGUCCUCACAGUUCAUAGGUACAAUUCUUGCUGGAACUAUCAACAUUGCAGUGGCAUGGUGGCUGCUGAACUCUGUAACCAACAUAUGCCAAGACGAUCUCCUUCCACCGGAUAGUCCAUGGACGUGUCCAGGUGACCGAGUUUUCUUUGAUGCAUCUGUCAUAUGGGGGUUAGUUGGACCCAGACGGAUCUUUGGAACACUUGGAAACUAUCAAGCCAUGAACUGGUUUUUCCUUGGAGGUGCAAUAGGACCUAUUAUAGUAUGGCUCCUACACAAGACGUUCCCCAAGCAAUCUUGGAUUCCUCUUAUUAAUCUUCCAGUCUUAUUAGGGGCAACAGGAAUGAUGCCAGCAGCUACACCAUUAAACUACAGUGCCUGGAUUCUAGUAGGAACAAUAUUCAAUUUCUUCAUCUUCCGGUAUCGAAAGCAGUGGUGGCAGAGAUACAACUAUGUUCUCUCAGCAGCCCUGGAUGCAGGAGUGGCAUUCAUGGCUGUGCUUUUAUACUUUGCGGUCAACAUUGAGAAUAAAAGUUUAACUUGGUGGGGAACAAAUGGAGAACAUUGUGAAUUAGCAGCAUGUCCAACAGCCAAAGGCAUAGAGGUUGAUGGUUGCCCAGUCAACUAAUGCAUGAAGCUCUUUCUAGAUGCAGAACUUACAGAAAAAAUUUAGUCACAAUCAGUGUGGUUAUAUAUGAGUUGUACAAAUAUUCCAUAAGUUUUAGGUAUCACAUUUAUAAAAAUAAAUUGGAGGAAAAUAACCAGAGAAGCAAAUUAGUUGAUUUCCUUGCUGUUUUAAAAGUGUUAAUAUGUUCAUCAAACCUGAUGAAAAAGUGACUGAACCAUGAUAGGAGAGUAUUAACUCGAGAACUCAUUUGUGAUAUUUACAAUAUACAUUACUAUAGUUAGAGAUCCCCUAUCUGUGGGGUAACUCUUUUCACUGUUCCAGAAAGACUAUUCUGAGUGAAGAACUGUCAAAUAUAAAACACAAAACUUUAUAUGUUCAAAGAUUUAAGCUAACCUUUCCAUUUUCCAACAGAACUACGAUGAAGCUGUUGGCAUUUUCGAGCAAGCAUCUCAUCGCAGCAUCAUAUAUCAUCCAAAGCAAGAUCAACAUCCUAGGCACUUACAAAAAAGAAAUACUCACCUAAAUCAUAGACGCGAGUAAAUCGUAGUGCAUAAUUUGGAUCUCCUGAAAUGACACAUUUGCUAAAGCUAGCAAUAAAAUCUUAGUAGACUUAAUUGUCAAAUAUCCACCCUCUUGUUGCUACUCAUUAAUUAAGUAAUCGUGGCAUCUAGUAAUUUCGAAACAACCUUAGUAUUCUAUCCUUGUGUCGUCACAGUUGAUAGGUACAAUUCUUGCUGGAACCGUCAACAUUGCAGUGGCAAGGUGGCUGCUGAACUCUGUCACCAACAUAUGCCAAGAUGAUCUCCUUCCCUUGGAUAGUCCCUGGACGUGUCCAAGUGACCGGGUUUUCUUUGAUGCCUCUGUCAUUUGGGGUUUGGCUGGACCUAGACGGAUCUUUGGAGCACUCGGUAACUAUCGAGAAAUAAACUGGUUUUUCCUUGGAGGUGCAAUAGGACCUAUCAUAGUAUGGCUACUACACAAGGCGUUUCCCAAGCAAUCUUGGAUUCCUCUUAUUAAUCUUCCAGUCUUAUUAGGGGCGACAGGAAUGAUGCCACCAGCUACACCAUUAAACUACAAUGCUUGGGUUCUAGUUGGAACAAUAUUCAAUUUCUUCGUCUUCCGAUAUCGAAAGCAGUGGUGGCAGAGAUACAACUAUGUCCUCUCGGCAGCCCUAGACGCGGGAACGGCAUUCAUGGCCGUGCUUUUAUACUUUUCAGUGGGCAUGGAGAAUAAAAGCAUUACUUGGUGGGGAACAAAUGGAGAACACUGUGAACUAGCAGCAUGUCCAACAGCUAAAGGCAUAGAGGUUGAUGGUUGCCCAAUCAAUUGAUGCACGAAACUCUUUCUAGAUGUACAAUCUACAAGGAAUAAAUUAGCCUUGAUCAGUGUAGUUUUAAUGAUUGUGAUUUAUCAAGAAGAUAUUCUGUUACUUGUAAGAUAAAAGAUUAUAUUAUGUGGUAAGGAAUUGUCAAGUACCCCUAUCAGUCUCUUGAAAAUACUUCUUCUCAAAUCUUGAACUCAAUAAUUCGAUUCAAUUAAGGGCGCCUUAAAAACAUUUGGUUUUGAUCAACGUUACCUUGUAAUCUUCAAACUAACUCGAAGUUCAAAGAGGAUGUGUUGGAUAUACUUAGCCAGUAUUUUGAAACACCCGUUAGCAUGAUUUGAUAUGUUUAUAUAUGUUAAAUGAUCGUAUGUAUGUAUGUAAUGUUGAUACCUAAAUUUUGAUAACCGGUUUAAUCAUAUAUUAAUUGUAUAGAAAAUUAUUGAUUAAAUUUUAAAUCCUAGCAAAAAUAACUUCAAUUAAAUUACAUGGCAUAUAGACAAUAGGAACAUUUGCAUAAGUAGUAAUAGAGACAUUUUCUUAAAAGGGAAAAAAAAGAAAAUUAAUUAAAAGAACUAUUAUUUUUUUAAAAAAACAAAAAAAAAAAAAACAAGCGAGACUGGGCCGGGGCCAGGCCGGCCCGCCGAGCCCGGCCUUCUUUCCUUUUUUUUCUUUGUCCAUUUCCUUUGGCUUGGGCCUAGCCCGGCCUCUCAUUUUUCCUCUUCCUCUCUCUCUCCUACGCUCUCUGCAGAAAUAUGACAAAGCAAGAUACAAGCCAGAGGAACAGGCGAGGCAGAGGAUCGAGCGGCAUGAUCCCAGCUUGGAGGGCUAGGCCGGUAAGGCAGCUGGCAGUGGCAGGAGCCAUGCGCGAUUGCUGGCCGAGCUUAAAAGCGAGAGAGGGAGAGUCGGCCAGAAGGGGGUGCGUUCGGGGAAAGAGAGAGAGCCGCGAGAGAGGAGGGAGACCGAGAAACAGAGAGCGAAGGGUGAGGCCAUGAGCGAAGGGCCUCCUCCGGUUGUCGCGGCGUCUGGACCUUGGCCGCCGACCCUCGCCGACGCGUGCCUCUCCCCCGCGGUAGGUCUCGAUGUGUUUCUUUUUUUUUUUUGGGGGUUGUGUCGAUUCCCGAGGAUCUCGGCUCGUAGGCGUGCGAGACGAUUGGGCGCGGCCCGAUCUGUCAAGCUUGUCCUCCAUUUGCCGCUGCCAAGCAGAGUAGGGCCGCUGCCGUUACCGACCCUGUUUUUCUCUUUACUGCGACUCCUCUGUUUGCCCCGUUUUGGGUGACGUUGGGUCGGCGAUCGCGGCCGUUCGGCUCAUGCGAGCUUCGGCCCUCGUCGCCCUUGCAUUCUCUGUUUCCAUAGUCCCCGUACGUUGUGCGUCGAGAUCUCCGGCGCGCGUUCGAGUCCCGGUUGAGCCGGAAACCUUACGAUUUGGUGGCGCACGUCAACUGUUUGUGAAAAUGCCCCAGUUUUAGUGGUAGUCUAUAAUGAGACCGAGACGGUCCUUCGACGGGCUCUCUUAUGCCGUCCUUUGUUGACGUUGAUUAUUCCCUUCCCGAUUCGUGCCGCCCUAAAAGUUUCUGCCCACAUUCUCCUUUUUUUUUUCGAUGAGCUGUCUGCAUGCUAGUGGUUAAACGGGGGGUUGUGGCCGUGGCGGUUCCUGAGUGAGUCCUCGCCGGUUUGCUUAUUGAAUUCCUUUUUAAUGCCUUGUUUGCUCCAGUUACUUGCCAACGUAUUUUUGCGAAAUCCUGAAUGGUUGAUGAACAACAGUGGCGGCUUGGUGCCGAGCCAGCGUAGGAGGAGCUCGAGUGGCUCUUGUUUGUGGAAGGUUAAAAAAAAAGAAAAAAAGGAGGUGACGGAAAAAGGGAUUAGUGUGGGUUUUAUGGCUAUGUUUGGCAUUCGGAUAAAAUUCAAUAUAUGAUAGAAUUUAUUUUAUUCUACGUUCGGUGCUUAGUCAGGAUAUGAUAAAAUUGGAUAUAAAAGAAAUAUAAACCGGAUAAAAUUAUCCGAUAAAAAAUGUAGGAUAAAUGUGAAUAUGAUUAGUAAUAUUCAUAGUAUGAAAGUUAUUUUUAUGAAAUAACAAACUUCUUAAAUUAACAAAAUUAAAACUAUAUUUCAACAUAAUUAAUAUUUGAAUUUUAAUAUAAAAAUUAAAAAAAACAAUUUAGUUAUUUUUAUUUAAUCUUAUUUUUAUUUAUAUAUUCAAAUUUAAUUAUAUUUUAUAAUAUAAAUUUAAAUAUAUAAUUAUUUUUAUUACAUAUAUUAGGUGUUUUAGUAUUUUAGGUAUAUUAGUACAAUUUACUAUUUAAAAACUUUUAUUAUAGAAUGACGGAAGGAGAAGGAAAAAAAAUGAGAGGAAAAUAAAAUAAAAAAGAAAACAAAAAUGAAGUAAGCAAGAGUGUCACGAUAGAUUUUUACUAUCUUUGUUUGUAAAAUUUUGGUUCAUUUAUAUUAAAUAAUCUAUCUAAUAUGAUGUGGUUAUAUCUGAUUUUAUUACUGCAAUCACAAAUAGCGGAUAUGACAUAACAAAAUUCUUAAAUUUUAUAUUAUAUCAUCUUCAGUCCUAUCAUAGUUAGAAAUCUGAAUAACUAAACAUGACCUAUAGGAUUAGUGUGGGUUUUAGGUUAGGAUAUGGAUUUAGUGUGGACCCGCCAAGAUUAUGGUGGACGGAAGGCUUAGGCGAGUUUAAGGAGCUUCGUGUUCCAUUUGGUCUCAUUCGAUUGGGCUUGGCACAAGUGGGCCUGAGUGUUGAUGUGCGGUUUGAUUUCAUUUUAUAAAGCUCCGGCUUCGCUUAGCUUAAAUAGUUCCAAUUGGGUUAAUUUUUUAGUAGGUUUAGUUCAUUUGGGGAGGGCCUACGGUACUGACCCAAUUUUCAUGUCCAUAGCCCGGCCCCGCGAAACUAUAUGUGUCCAUAUUCGAAUUGGGCCCUAGGGCCCAGUCCGAAUCCCUAUUUUCGGAUUUUAAAAAAAUAUUUCUUACUAAAAAUUCCAAAAAAUUUAUGAAAAAACUUAAAAAUUAGUUUUUGAAUAGUUUUCUCUUAAAAUGUGUAAUCCUUGAUAAUUAUUGUGUUCGAAAUUGGACAAGUUCUUAGGGUUUCAUGAUUUAAGUAUUCUUGAAAACAAAUGAUAGGUCAUCGUUUAUGCGUUUCCAUUUUGACUAUUAUGUGAUUACGCACUUUCAAUACGUUGAUUAUGGUUUCCCAUUAGUCUAAUUAGGAAUAGGAAUGUGAUUUGUCUUAUUUCUUAGGGUUAGAUUUUUGUUUUUCCUUUAAACUUAUUUAAUGCUUCAUUGAUUGCCGAUUGUUAGUUUAAAGAUCAUCUCACCCACAUGAUCAUCUCACAUGUUAGUGGAUAGGUUAAAAAUCAAUCCAAAUUGCCUUACACACAUUUUCUUUAAUAAACAAGAUUGAGUAUCGAAAUGGCACUAGUUAAUUAAUUAGUAGAAUUAAGUCUCUGAUCAUAGAUUUUCUAAUUGCGUAGGAAAUAAUGUAUACUCUCAUACAUCACUUAAUUUCUAAUUGAUCUCAAUGAGUUAGUGGCGACUCUUCAUUCAAAAAUUCUUAAAGAAUCCAUUUGAAUUUCGCAACAUUGCAUGAGAUAUGGAUUUGGGAGAGCCCAUAUCUAAAACGAGAGUCAUAGGCCCACCUUUAAGACAAUACUCCUAAACUUAUGUCUUUUCUCCUCCGAAUGGAAAAAGGUUGGUCGCAACACAUGUAUUUUCUGUUAUCUCAGGUGAUGUCAUAAUCUUGAAUUUAUUAGUAAUCAUAGGAGAGAUGUAACUGAUAAUUUGCUAGGAAAGUAUAAGGGCCGUCUCUUUCACAACUUAAUGAACUAUACAUGUACACAUUGCGCUUUUCCAAAAAGUUAGAUAAUUCAUUAGAUGCACUAUUAGGGGUGAGCAUCAAUUUAGGGUCCAUCUUGGAUCGACCUUGGACCGACCCAGCCCUAUCGGUCCUAGUUCGUUUCCGAGAAGAACUAGGUUAGUUCUUGAUCCUGAGAUUUGUUGACUAGCACUGUGCGGGUUGGUUUUCGGUCCUAGGAGUUUAGGAUUGGUCAAACCUUGAUCAACCUUGAUUAUAUAUUAUAUAUAAUCUAUUUAAAAUAUACUAUUUAUAUGUAUUAUAUAUCUAAUAUAUUGUAUAUAAUUUUCUAUAUAAAGAAAAUCCUAAGUCAAAUAGCGUCAACAGCAUUAAAUGACUCCUUAGUAAGGAGUCACAAUAAUUUUACAUUAUUAUUUAAUUGCUUAGACUUUUAAUGUUUUUUACGGCAUCAACAACCAUAAUUUACAAUGGAGGAAAAUGUCCUUAUGAGAAUUCCUUAUGGCAUUCAAAACGGUAUAAACAGCUCCUCAUAGUAUCUUCCUCCAGUACUCCUUACAGUAUCUUCCUCCAAUACUCAUUCUCUUAUGUUUAACUUUCCCGCUCGUCGCUCAACACUUGCCUUGCUCACUUUUGGUCGCUUGUGUCAUUCUCUGCUUGACACUUGCCUCGCUUGUUGCUCGCCGCUCACUCCACUCGCCCCCACUCGAUGCUCGCUGCUCACGCGCUCACCUCUCUUUGUUGACCUCACUCGUCAUUAAACUCAUUGGGCUUGUUCGGUCCUUGAUCGCUUUUUCAGGGAGUACACAAAAUGAAACAAAACAAUUAUUAGUUGGUUUCGGGUUAACUUUGGAACUGGAUCAAACCUAUUGAUCCAGUCCUCGGUCUUAGGCUCAAUAGGAUCGGUCAUUAGUCCCAAAAAUUAAAAACCAAUAGUGUGCAGAUUGGUCCUUGGGUUAGAGGGUGGAUUAGUCCACCUCGGACCAUGCUCACCACUAUGCACUAUACAUGAAUUCUUCCAUUUUGGGCUGUUAAACAUAUGUCAGUCUAGCAAAAGGGAAAAAAUUAAAAGUAAAAGUAAAUAUAUCUUUUUCGGGCGGGGGACUCUCAUCUGCGCAUCAUCAACAUCACAAAAGGCAAAGAGAAGUACAAUUCCAAUAGCAGCCUGCCUCAUUUCAUUGAGUUGGUGAACAUAGGAAAUUUUUUUUUUUUGGUCGGAAACAUAGGAAGUUGACUUUCACAAGUUAGCUGUGAGAUAGAGGCUAAAAGUGGAAUCUCCAGCUCUUUGAAUGGUGAUGCUUUGUGAAAAUAAUAUUAAGGACUGACUUUAUAUUUUACGGAAAUGAGGAAUUAUUAUUUAUAUAGACUAAUGAUGAAAGUGAAGUAAAUUUUCAGUACCAAUGUACCAUCCCUAGCUAGGCACUGCCAACGCAUCUCCCAAAAUAUCCUCCCGAAAAUGAAACACAAUGAUUAAAAAGUCUAACAAAAAAAGUUAACAUAUGAAGAUAACUUACAUGAAUAUAAAUAGCAUAUAUAAACUUCUUAAACAAGCAAUUCAUGAUAUCUUCACACUUUUUUUUCACGUGUGAGUUGGAUUCGGAACAAUGCGUAGAACUCAACAAAUGAAAAGUCGAGUGCACAUGAAAUAAAUCAGGGUAUAACUUGACUCUACUGUCAUGUUUGUAAAUCUAAUCCAAAAGUCUAAACAUUCAAUGAGCCAAAAAAAGGUGGAGAAAUGCAUUCUUUUCUACUGUUUGAACACACGUGCGUAUAUAUAUAUAUAUAAUAACUUCUUCAUUCUAAUAUACGACUGUAAGGAUGACACUUGCAUCAUUUGAGAAAGUUGAAAAGCAUACUAAAGUUCUUGAAUUGCCAAAGAGGACUUACUAUUCCUAGUCCAUACAAUACCAUUCAUUCUAAUGGAGGGAAUUGCUCUCUUUUUUAUUUUUAGUUUAAUUUUUAAAUUUUUUUUUUUGUUGGACUUGGAGUUGCUUCUCGCCAAAUAUCGACAAAAGCAUGGCUGGGCCAUUAUUGCAGCCACCAACGAUUUCAAUCUGUCCCUUCAAUGAGAAAAAGAAAAUCAUCGCGCUUUUGAAUUUGAUUUUCUUGACUCGUUCUUUCACGGUUUUUCACCCGCAAUUUAUAUUUUUUCAUAGUAAUGUGAAUUCGGGUUAUUGACUCAUUAUGUUCGUUUGACCAGAUAGAGAACUGCAUUUGUAAAAACAAUCGAGAACUUCGUAGACAUUAUGGGACCGGAUGAAAGAUGUAAUUUAUUUGUUCUUGCGAGGAAAAUGGUACAAAAUGGUUCUUGGAUGGUGUCGAUGUUUUUUGCAGUUAUGCUACAGUUGAAAAAUAUCGAGAACUUCAUAUAUUGGAAAAAAUUAGAUCAUAUAAAAAUGAGAAUCAUUGGAAAUAUGUUGAAAAAGAUGGGAAAAUAGACGUGUAGGUAUCUGCCUCUUAGAGUAUGAAACUCAGUAUGACAGACUUUAGCGGUUAUUCUUCCAAAAUACAAUAGACCUUGUUUAUUUCGCAUGGAAUAAUAGUAAUAACAAGAACCACUAAAUUGUAUGUAGAACCUGCUAAAAAAGAAAAGAAAAAUGGAAUGCGAGUAAAGAUUUUCAUGGGUUUGUAUAUCACUUUUCAAUAAUAUUUAGAGUAGCAAUUUGUAGGUAAAAAGAAAGAGAUGGUUGUUUUCGAUCAUGAAUUCUUGCAUUAAUUUGAAAAUCUUUACAAGUUAAUUGUGGUUAAGACUACUAAAUUUUUUUACUAAACCAUUAUUUAUAGAAUAAUGACUUUCAUUGCGGUUAUAAAUUCUAUGAAAGCUGUUAUGAUAAAAUGACAUUCAAAUUUUCAAAAAUAUCCAACAUCAUAGACAAACAAGAUAAGUCUAGCAUAAAGGAUAUCGCAAAGUAUAUAUAGAUCGACACAUAAUUGUGGAAGGGUGAUUUGAAUGCGAAUUGAUCUAUAAUUUAGUUUUUUGUGAUCGAGAAACUAGUCCUUCAAUUCUGAGUGUAAUCUCUCUUUCUCCCUCUCUCUACAAAAAUAAAAAUCUUCAAGCCACUUGAAAUGAAAUUUACCAAGUUUUAUUCAUGAGGAAAAUGACAUUAGAAGUGCUAUUAAUUUUGUACAAUGCUCAUUUUAGUACUAAAACUUUUUGAGCGAUUACUUAGUGCGACUUUUGUGAAAAACAAUUAUUUAAGUGCCAUCCCCUACAACAUCCAAAAUUUUCUAUGUUCGACAAUAAUAUUUGGGAUAUGAAGUUAAGUAUCUUGGAGUUUUGGAUAACACGUAUUAAAUCUGAGGAGUGUCAUUAAUUUUGUUAUGGAAAGUGUAAAGGAUGUGUUUUUGCCACCAUAGUCGCCUAGAGUGUAAUGCUUUAAGAUUAAAUUAAUAGAUGUUGACAUAUACAUUGAUUGAGUAGAGUGACGGUGAUUAAUGCAUUGCCACGGUAUUUGUUAAUGAGGACCAAUACGCUUUGAAAUACGUUUUGGAUGAUUUUCGAGUUUUAAAAUUUACUGAGAGAUUUUUCUAGAAUAUUUUAGCUUUCACUAAUAAUUUUAGUGGAUUUAAAAUAUUUUUCUGAUUUACUAAUGUUUGGAACGGACAAUAGUUUCUCUGGUUAUUUACUAAAAUACAAAAUAUCUUAUAAAAUAUCUUUAUCAGGCAACCAAAAUGUGUUAAUAUGAUCCAUUUUUCAAUACAUGUUUUUAACUCCAGGUCAUCAUUAUUUUAGUCUUGGUUAAUUAAUCUUAUUUCUUUAUAUCUCUUGUAUAAUUUACUAGAUACAUUCCCUUCUUGAUGAAACAAAGCACUACAGAUAUCCAAGUUUCAAUGAGGAUUCCGACUUGUUCUUGCAAAGAAAGAGGAGAAAUCUGACGUCACGUUCUCAUUCUUUCAUUUUCCACCCUUUUGCAGAAAAGCUGAAGCCCCGUUAGUGCUUCUAAAGCUUCCAAAUCGAUAUUUCAAGUGUUUACAAGGUGAAUUUUUGGACUUUCUCUUCAUUCUAUCAAACUAGAUUUGUUGCUUAAAAAGAAUGAGGAUUGUUAAUUUAUGUCCUUGAUUAUAUUGCUUUGAAGGUAAUUAAAGCUUUGAUUUACUCAAGUCAUUUAUUCAUGUAAGUGAAACUCUAGGGACUAAACUAGGUUAAUAUACUCAUUACUCUUGAUUUGGUUUUUUUGACAAUUGUCAAUUUUAGUUUGAUAGUUGAUGUUAGUAUGGAAAGUUUCGAUGAUUGUGUAUUGAAUCGCUGUGUUUGUUUGACUUCAAUCAAUGAGUCUUUCUAUGCCAAGGCCGUGAUUAAUUGAUUUUCCAUAAGAUUCAAUAGCAUAAAAAGUGUAGAUGGUAGAGUUAAACUUGAAAAGUGAUACUCUUGUAAUGCCGGCUAAGUAUUGGUUGACUCACUACAUUGCCAAUUUCGAGUUAUUGAAUGUUAAGUUACAAAUUCUCUUAGUUGUAGAAUGCCAAGUCUUAAAAUUUUUGUAACUUCUCAAUUCUCUUAGUUGUUAAUUUUGAAUUAUCAAUUAUUGAGUUGGAUGAUAUAUAGAAAUUGAUGGAUGUACCGGUCUGGAAGUCACAGGUGUACCGGUCAUGGUAUUAAUAUAAUUUGACAGAAAUUAAUGGAAGAUAGAUUUAUCACAAAUGUACCAAUUUAGGAUUUUUUGUGGUAAAAAAUUUAGUUUAGGGUAAAUUUAUUACAUGUGUACAAGUUUGGGAUUUUUGGUGGUAUUAAUCCUAAGUUUUGGCUAGGUCAUUACCACAUUGGCUAUCUUCUUUUCAUAAGAAAUGUUAAGUAAGAAUUAAAAUUUUAUUGAAAAUGCCUCCGCACUUUCAUAUCUUAGGGCGCUGAUAAUGAUCAUUUUAUUUCUAUCAAAAUCCAUUUUUCUGUUCCGAGGAACAACUUUGGUAUAAAAAAUCUAUUUAGUAACUCAAUUUAAUUUUUCUAUUUUUAGAAUAAAAAUGAGAACUUCAUCAUUGGCCUUCACUUCUAAUUGAUCCCCCACCAAUCGUUACUGCCUAUUGGCUGCUUCCCUCCACCAUCUAUUGCCAUCGCCUGCCCACCUACCCCCGUUGCCUGCCUAUGAUUUGGGAAUGAAAAAUUUUGUGUCGUUAUGAAACAUAUAUUUUUGUUUAGAAACUUGUCCAAAGAAUACAAAUAAAUAAAAAUAAUUUUUUUUUGGCCAGAAAUUAUGUCUAGAAAUAGGACGAUUAUCAUUCCCAUCUUUAAACACCCUUAUAUGACAUAGUCUCAUUCUCUCACUUAAGUAGCUUCUGUCGUGGGAUCGUCUGUCACAUUUCAGAGGUGAGAGAGUCGUUGUCUGCUGGACCAUCUGUGAGGACUGAUACCAUACAGAAUUUCUCCUUUGAUUCCCUGGAUCUUCCGCUGAGAACUCGGGUUUCGGGGUCAAGACUUUGGAUUUUCUCAAUAUUUUCUAAUUGCAUGAAAUGGAUGGGACCAUGCGCCGUAAGUGGGCCGCUACACAAAACUUUUCUAGCUCCAUUCUAUUUUUCCACAAAAGAAUAAUCUCCUUUCUGGACUCUCUUCUUCCGCGAUACCGGCGCUCAAUCAUUCACUAUCUACACUUGCAAGAACUGAAAAGUCAAGUACGUUUUAGUAUAAAACCAGACCUUCUCGACACUUCAGCACCACCACCACCCCCGCUACCCUCCUCUCGCGCUCGAGUGCACUUUCUGCCGCCCACAAUCAUGGGCACGCUGGAGCUCCAACCACCACCCACCGCCAGACCAUCCGAGCUCGACGAUGCCGUUGAUGAGGACGACCUCUCGCCCAUCGAGGAGGUCCGCCUCACCGUGACCAACACCGACGACCCCACCUUGCCUGUCUGGACCUUCCGCAUGUGGUUCUUGGGCCUCCUUUCGUGUGCCCUCCUCUCUUUCAUCAACCAGUUCUUCGCCUACCGAACUGAGCCC
Molecule: long non-coding RNA, 17421 nt
Filed under: Eucalyptus grandis
Lineage: Eukaryota; Viridiplantae; Streptophyta; Magnoliopsida; Myrtales; Myrtaceae
Description: long non-coding RNA (EGRA_LNC005755)
Source: RNAcentral